CCUACGGGCGGCAGCAGUGGGGAAUAUUGCACAAUGGGGGAAACCCUGAUGCAGCCACGCCGCGUGAGUGAGGAAGUAUUUCGGUAUGUAAAGCUCUAUCAGCAGGGGAGAAAAUUACGGUACCUGACUAAGAAUCCCCGGCUAACUACGUGCCAGCAGCCGCGGUAAUACGUAGGGUGCAAUGGUUAUCCGGAUUUACUGGGUGUAAAGGGGGAGUAGACGGUUAAUCAAGUCAGAAGUGAAAGCCCAGGGCUCAACCUUGGGACUGCUUUUGAAACUGGGUAGCUAGAGUGCAGGAGAGGUAAGCGGAAUUCGUGGUGUAGCGGUGAAAUGCGUAGAUAUUAGGAGGAACACCAGUGGCGAAGGCAGCUUACUGGACUGUAACUGACGUUGAGGCUCGAAAGCGUGGGGAGCAAACAGGAUUAGAUACCCUUGUAGUC
RNAcentral lists this ribosomal RNA (440 nucleotides) under uncultured bacterium. RNAcentral describes it as "partial 16S ribosomal RNA". It matches the Rfam family "Bacterial small subunit ribosomal RNA", at positions 338 to 795 of the family's 1533-position model. The record is from RNAcentral.